GGUACACCAUGUAUAUAUUUCAUGGUGAGGUUUGGUUCUCCAUCUGAUUUGUAACGAUUCAACGGACCGUAUAUAAUUUUGCCCAGCUCAUGUUUAAGAAACGCCACUGAUCCCCGAUGUAAUUUAUCGAAAACUAUCGAUUCUCAUAUUUGAUACAGAGAGUGCGCGGAGAUUGUCGUUCAAUGUGGGAAUUUUUCAGUUUUCAGCUGAAAGAGGAUUAUUAUGAUUUUGACGACUGAUUGAAAACAGGUGGAGAGUGAGUGUGAUAUUUUUUGGUGGCUUUUCGUAUGGUUGAGUACCUUAAUAUUAGAUAUUGAAUAUUACCUAAUUAUUUCUUUGAAUAACAGUAAUUCUAUCUAACGAUUUGAUAUCUGAUAGUUUAAUUUGAUAUUCCAUUGUCUCUUUUCUUUUUUUCUCUUAACACACAGUAGUGUGUAAGGAUUUUUUUUUUCCUUCUUUCUUUUGAGAGCCGCCAGGAAGUACAUAUUCCCUUUCUUGCUGUAAUUAACUAUAAAUUUCAUUCAAAUUAAAUAAAUUUCCUUCUUAUAAUAACUCUCGGAUCAUAUGUACCUUUUUUUUUAUUCUUUGUAUUUCAUUGUUUCUUAUAACAUAAGUUUUUUUCACUUUCCGGAAAGUAUUCAAUAAGUAACUCAUUUUUAUAUAAUAGUUUAUAAUUUCUGUCAAUUCCAAAUUUUAUACAAUACUUUUGAUACUAUUUUUCCAAAUUCAACCAGAACAUUUUUAUCUUCGAUAAUUGUACAAAUCUAAUUUCCUGAAUUUUUCUCUCCACGCAUGCUCAAGCAUCCAUUUUGAUACGAAGAAGAUUCCACAAUUCCUGUACAAGUUCCUAACCAGGCUGCACUGAAUCUUCAUCCUGAUCAAGGUUACACAGAAACCUUCAUCUAAUAUUUGGACGAAAUACUCCAAGUGCCGUUGAGUUUCACUUCAGGCGAGCAUCCACCAAAUUGGAACCCGAGAUUUGAAUUUAUUUUCACCACUUCGAUCCAAGAGCAAUAUUCUGAUAUCAAGCAAUUAUUAAAAUUGAGAAACAAGAUCUACCAAGUGAGAUAUCAAAAUUCAUCUUUCGAUAACCUACUUAUUCCAAAUUCUGUCUGGAGACCUAAUAUUCGAAUUGUAAGAUCAGUGAAAUUUUCAUCAUUUGUAAAUGUUCUGAGUAUAUUUUUUUUCUCAGCCUUCAGCAAUAUUUUUUUUUGUAAAUUCUGAAUUAAUUUUCUUCUCAGCUUUCAGCAAUAUUUUUUUGGAAAUUCUGAAUUUUUUUUUUCUCAGCCUUCAGCAAAAAUUUUUUUAAAUAGUUUUAAUAUAUUUGUAAAAUUUGAUUCGUUUUAUUUCUUACCACUAAGCAAGAUCUCUCUUAUCUAUCUCCCGUUUCUCUUACUUAAUUUCAUUUUUUUUAUCAUCUCUAUUAAUAUUUUUUUUGAGAAAUUUCAUUUUUAUGAAAUUUGGUUUACUUUAGUAAGCCUGGCGCCCAACAAUUAAUUAGUCAAGUUAACAAGUCCAUUUGGUGCCCACACCCUCACCGUAUCAACUGAGCAGCCGACAGGCAUACGUGUGAUUUAACUUUACACAAUUGGCGCCCAUCGCGUGGCCCUCAAGGGGUGCGUUGGCUUGACAUAAUUUUUUUUUUUUCUAAAUCUUGCUGAGUGGAAAUUUUCUGUUAUACAUUUGAUCCGACAGAAUUUGGUACAUUGUUAUUCAGUACUAAUAUUUUUUCGUAUUGACAUUUCUAUACCAUAUUGAACGGCCAUCUUUCUCUUUAAAUUCACUUUUCUUAUUUUAUAUUUUCGUUUUUUUACACUAAUUUCGUAACUGAUUUCUAUAAUUUGAUGAAGUAUGAAUCCCAAUCAUUUGAAGGCCUAUGAAUUGGUCUAUGAAAUUAAAAUUCGCGGCGUUGAACCAACUGCCGAUGUUGAAAGUAAGAGGAGAGUUUUUGGAGGGUUUCGGUGUUAUAUUAAUGAAAAUCAUAAAACCUGGGAUUCUUCUAUAUUUAAAGUGGCUCAGGCCAUCAGGUUGGCAAAACAUGAUGUCACAGGUUAUUCUCCGGCUUUCCUUAAUUUCGCUAGAAAUAUUCCCGUUAUCGGAGAUUUCUAUGGAAAAAUUUCUGAUAAUCAAAACAAUACAAUCUCUAUAUCUGAGAAGUUUCAACGCAUUGAUGAUGUGCAGAAACUACCCGAAUUAUUUGUAGAUAUUCGCAAGAAAUUACAUCAGGUCUAUCUUAGAAAUGCUCAUCAAUACAAUUUAAGAAAGCGAAAAGUAAGAUUUUAUGUCGGCGAUAAAGUCUGGAAAAGAAAUGUAACUUUGUCUUCAGCGGCUAACAAUUAUUCUGCGAAAUUAGCUCCUAAAUAUUUGCCUUGCAUUAUUACUAGGGUUGUUUCAGAUUUGGUAUACGAGCUUAAGGACGUGGAUGGUAACGAUUUGGGUCGUUGGCACAUUAAAGAUCUCAAAUCAUCUUAUGAUGAUGAUUUGGAUUCGGCUGAGGAGUAUCUUAGCGCAGAUUCGGAUGACUCAUAAAUAUUUUCUCUAUUUUUUUCUCUAUUGCAAGUAUUAUGCGUGUAAACAUAAUGAAUUACUGUUGGAUGGUGCAAUGUUAUGAAAGAAUCUAUCUUUGGUAGCUCCUUUAUGGAAAAUUUGUGCUUUCAUGAUAUGAACUAUUCAGCAGGGAUGUGUUGUGUUGAUUCUGAAUUACUUCGGUAUUUAUGAUAUUUGGGAAUCAAUGCAUUUUUCAUAUCAUUUUGAUUUAUGUUACAUGCCUUAUUUAUCUUACCUAUCUGUAUCUCUCAAAGUUUUCCUUGCAUCGUAUCUUUUCAUGUACUAUGAAUAUUGAGUCUGAUUUCAAUUUGUUGCUUCCUAAGUCAAUUCCUUUGCUAUAUAGCGAAUGAAAAAAAAAAUAAAAAAAAAAAUUUUAAACUUCUAAAGUUUACAAAUUUUUUUUUCGCCCAGUUGGGGUGGUGUGUAACGAUUCAACGGACCGUAUAUAAUUUUGCCCAGCUCAUGUUUAAGAAACGCCACUGAUCCCCGAUGUAAUUUAUCGAACACUAUCGAUUCUCAUAUUUGAUACAGAGAGUGCGCGGAGAUUGUCGUUCAAUGUGGGAAUUUUUCAGUUUUCAGCUGAAAGAGGAUUAUUAUGAUUUUGACGACUGAUUGAAAGCAGGUGGAGAGUGAGUGUGAUAUUUUUUGGUGGCUUUUCGUAUGGUUGAGUACCUUAAUAUUAGAUAUUGAAUAUUACCUAAUUAUUUCUUUGAAUAAUAGUAAUUCUAUCUAACGAUUUGAUAUUUGAUAGUUUAAUUUGAUAUUCCAUUGUCUCUUUUCUUUUUUUCUCUUAACACACAGUAGUGUGUAAGGAUUUUUUUUUUCCUUCUUUCUUUUGAGAGCCGCCAGGAAGUACAUAUUCCCUUUCUUACUGUAAUUAACUAUAAAUUUCAUUCAAAUUAAAUAAAUUUCCUUCUUAUAAUAACUCUCGGAUCAUAUGUACCUUUUUUUUUAUUCUUUGUAUUUCAUUGUUUCUUAUAACAUAAGUUUUUUUCACUUUCCGGAAAGUAUUCAAUAAGUAACUCAUUUUUUUAUCCUCCUCAGACCCCAGGUAUCAUAUAUGAUACCCCAGGUUUAUAUUUUAUUCUCGGCCUCCAGCUCCAUUUAGCCGCACGUACUCGAUGGUAUCAUAUAUGAUACACUGCUAAAUACGCGCCUAAUUUUUUGAUGCGAUGUUGGUUGCAUACGGCGGCAAGAAAAGUCAGUCGAUUGUUUAUGUUUACAAGUGCACGUGCUACGAUCAUGCCUCUACCACGAAAUAAAAGUAAGUAAUUGUUUUUGUGGUGUUUUUUUGAUUUAUAUUUGUUGAACAAGUACUACAGAACAUAUGGAAUAUAAUAGGUUCUGUUUUAAAUAUUACAAAUAUUUCGCAAUGGGUAAUUCCGUUAACGUAUCAUAGGUGAUACCUUGGGUCUUACUGACUACAAAUUUAAUUUCAAUGGCCUUUGACCGCGUUGGAGCUUGAAGAGAUAGCUCUCAACUUGGACUUCGAUCAGUCGGACCUCGAUGAUCUCUCUUCGGACGAUGAUGAGGAUGAGGUUGAUCUAGGUUUGGAAAAUGUGGUUACCGAUCCUGAUGAUAUGGAGAUCGCAGACAACAUGAGUGAUGAAGAAGAGACACCGCCUCUGAAACAAAGGAAGAUACAACCUGUUCCGGAUAGAAGAGUCAGGACCGUUGGUAACAUCCACCUACCAGUAUUUACGAAGCAAGAACAAAAAACAAGAUCAAAAUGUAGAUUUCCUAAAUGUGGCAAAUUAACGUUUGCCAAAUGUAACUCCUGCAAUAUUUAUCUGUGUUGUACCGUUGAUAGAAAUUGUUUCUCGCUUUUUCACCAGUAAAUUUUUUUUAUAGA
Molecule: RNA transcript, 4399 nt
Organism: Harmonia axyridis
Lineage: Eukaryota; Metazoa; Arthropoda; Insecta; Coleoptera; Coccinellidae
Exons: 2
Source: RefSeq, a predicted model, not a curated record